RNAcentral lists this non-coding RNA (194 nucleotides) under Salinivirga cyanobacteriivorans. Lineage: Bacteria; Pseudomonadati; Bacteroidota; Bacteroidia; Bacteroidales; Salinivirgaceae. The record is from RNAcentral.
GUUUUUUGCAAAGUAUUCGGUUCGCAAGAUUAAAAGGGAAUUCGGUGUAAGUCCGGAACUAUCCCCGUAGCUGUAAUCCCGAUACCAAUUAAGGUGUUGUAUUUUCAACAAAAACCACUGCAUUUUACUCCAAAAAGCGGGAAGGUGUUGAAAAUCGGGAAAGUCAGAAUACCUGCCGAACACUCAGUUAUCGU